Long non-coding RNA from Ruditapes philippinarum (Manila clam), 369 nucleotides. RefSeq lists it as uncharacterized. The transcript is spliced from 4 exons. The record is from RefSeq and is a predicted model, not a curated record. NCBI's taxonomy places the organism in Eukaryota, Metazoa, Mollusca, Bivalvia, Venerida, Veneridae.
UAGUGUUAAAGACGGGUUUUUGAAGUCUGCUGUAAUUGGUGCUAGGCUUGACAACUGGAGAAACAAUACUGAUUUUAAAGUUACCAUUAAAUUUAAAGACUUAAAGGAAAGUAACUGGCGAAAAAUAUGUAGUUUUAUGACUGAAAACGGCACAACGUGGAUGAAUGAAGGGUGUUAUUUGAAAACAUCAGACACAACAUCAGCUACUUGUGAAUGCAACCAUCUUACAAACUUUGCAAUUCUUAUGAGUCCGUGGACAGCGAGUAAUGUAGAAACAGAAACGUUGAGAAUUAUAACUUUUAUCGGAUGUUCCUUGUCAACUCUUGGUCUUGUUUUUACUGUGUUGGUACAUUUAUAUAUGUGGAGGUA